RNAcentral lists this ribosomal RNA (788 nucleotides) under Salmonella enterica. Its description in RNAcentral is "partial 23S ribosomal RNA". It matches the Rfam family "Bacterial large subunit ribosomal RNA", at positions 991 to 1772 of the family's 2925-position model. The record is from RNAcentral. Lineage: Bacteria; Pseudomonadati; Pseudomonadota; Gammaproteobacteria; Enterobacterales; Enterobacteriaceae.
GCGGGUGCUAACGUCCGUCGUGAAGAGGGAAACAACCCAGACCGCCAGCUAAGGUCCCAAAGUCAUGGUUAAGUGGGAAACGAUGUGGGAAGGCCCAGACAGCCAGGAUGUUGGCUUAGAAGCAGCCAUCAUUUAAAGAAAGCGUAAUAGCUCACUGGUCGAGUCGGCCUGCGCGGAAGAUGUAACGGGGCUAAACCAUGCACCGAAGCUGCGGCAGCGACGCUGAUGCGUUGUUGGGUAGGGGAGCGUUCUGUAAGCCUGUGAAGGUGGCCUGUGAGGGUUGCUGGAGGUAUCAGAAGUGCGAAUGCUGACAUAAGUAACGAUAAAGCGGGUGAAAAGCCCGCUCGCCGGAAGACCAAGGGUUCCUGUCCAACGUUAAUCGGGGCAGGGUGAGUCGACCCCUAAGGCGAGGCCGAAAGGCGUAGUCGAUGGGAAACGGGUUAAUAUUCCCGUACUUGGUGUUACUGCGAAGGGGGGACGGAGAAGGCUAUGUUGGCCGGGCGACGGUUGUCCCGGUUUAAGCGUGUAGGUGUGUGUUCCAGGUAAAUCCGGUUCACUUUAACACUGAGGCGUGAUGACGAGGCACUACGGUGCUGAAGCAACAAAUGCCCUGCUUCCAGGAAAAGCCUCUAAGCAUCAGGUAACAUCAAAUCGUACCCCAAACCGACACAGGUGGUCAGGUAGAGAAUACCAAGGCGCUUGAGAGAACUCGGGUGAAGGAACUAGGCAAAAUGGUGCCGUAACUUCGGGAGAAGGCACGCUGACACGUAGGUGAAGUGAUUUACUCA